Salvia splendens (bonfire salvia) is the source of this 1515-nucleotide long non-coding RNA. RefSeq lists it as uncharacterized. NCBI's taxonomy places the organism in Eukaryota, Viridiplantae, Streptophyta, Magnoliopsida, Lamiales, Lamiaceae. The transcript has 5 exons. The record is from RefSeq and is a predicted model, not a curated record.
UAAUUGCUUGUCGUUGAGUCGAAUCGGGCCGAUCUCAUAAAAAUAAUGCGUCCAUUUAUACAUACUGAAAAAUUUAUUCCAAAGCAGAUACUCCAUUCUUUUCCUCUCAAACAGCAGUUCCCAGCAUAUCCCUCAGAUGAAAUUAUCAGAGUCAGAUGAGAAUUACUGAAUCAGGAAAUUAUAUAUCGAAGGUCACCUGCCAAGAAUUAAUUAUGAAGAAUGUUGGAUUCAUUCGGAAUAAACCCUAUUGGAGUGGAGGGACAAGUAUUUGCAGUACAAUCCCGCAUCCGCAGCAGCUGAUAACGUCCCUUGCUAGAGCUUCACGAGUGGCUCGUCGGAAUUCUCAACGAGGAACUCGAAAAGUUCAACGAUUUCUACGUCGAUAAGGAGGAAGACUUCAUCAUCCGCUUCCAGGCAUUGAAGGAUCGCAAGGAACAUACCUGAAGAAGUUCCAAAUGCCACGACGAAGUAUCUCCAAGCAGGCAAUAACAGCGGUCAUGGCAUUUCUGUGGAGAAAUGGCAGAUUGAAAUCAAGGACCAGCUGCAUCCAUACAAGCCUCAGAAGUAUGUUGGCUACCUGCAGUUUCAUGCCAGACACUCUCUGAGACCCCAAUCCACUACAAUAUCCCAAUACGUGUUGUAGAUGGUCGUGAUGCCAGAUGUUGCUGCAGCCAUGAUUCUCCAAAACGACGAUGCAUUGCCAUUUUGUACAGUGAUAUCAUACAAUGACCUCAUCACAAGAGCAACGACUGUUGAGAAAUACUUUAGGCCAUUGAGGCCCUGCAUAGCGCUUUUCUCCUCAAAGACACGACGGAGGCACUGAGUUCAUCCAAGCAGCAAAGUUUUAGCUGAGAAGACUGAAUUUAAGAUUAAUAUGAUCAAUGGAGUUUAAGUUACCUGAAGGAGGCGCAGCCAGAAUGGAAUAACGGCUACAGCUAUGUAUAGAAACUUGGUCUGGCUCGCGCGGAAACAUCCCAGACCAGAGAAACUGCUAGCCACCCUCCAACUUCGAUAAGUUAUCCAGAAUUUCUUCGUUGCUUUUAACAUUGAUUUACUCCAAGAUUGAUAUAAAGAAGCUUUAAUAAAUUUUUUUAAAAAUGAUUAUUUAAUUUGUGUUCGAAUGGCUGAAGUAAAGCCUAAAUAUAGAGUAUGUUGAUUGAAAAUUUCAUGCAUGUAUGAAAUGAAUUCAGUGCUAUACUUUGCAAAGAGUUGCUUCCUAGCAUGAAAUGUUCAGCACCGUCCGUCACUGCAGUUAGGUAAAAAUCAUGAUCCUAUUCACUAGUGUUGUUUAUUUAGCUUAACAUAUUGCAUUUAGAUGAUGUAGAUAAUGUGGUACCUGGCUCGUCAUCUGAUCUGCCAUGAAAAAAUCAAUGAAGACCUUGUAGAGAGGGGCACAGAUGCAGUGGAAUGUAGAACGAAUGAGAAAGAAACGACUGGAACGGUAUAUUAUGUUGAAGGGACAUAGUGUUAUAACAAGCACAACCUGAAAUAGAAAUAUUCAUUAGUUUUUCAUCA